Molecule: ribosomal RNA, 2123 nt
Filed under: Salmonella enterica subsp. enterica serovar Enteritidis
Lineage: Bacteria; Pseudomonadati; Pseudomonadota; Gammaproteobacteria; Enterobacterales; Enterobacteriaceae
Description: partial 23S ribosomal RNA
Rfam family: Bacterial large subunit ribosomal RNA
Source: RNAcentral
AGUUGCAGGGUAUAGACCCGAAACCCGGUGAUCUAGCCAUGGGCAGGUUGAAGGUUGGGUAACACUAACUGGAGGACCGAACCGACUAAUGUUGAAAAAUUAGCGGAUGACCUGUGGCUGGGGGUGAAAGGCCAAUCAAACCGGGAGAUAGCUGGUUCUCCCCGAAAGCUAUUUAGGUAGCGCCUCGUGAAUUCAUCUCCGGGGGUAGAGCACUGUUUCGGCUAGGGGGCCAUCCCGGCUUACCAACCCGAUGCAAACUGCGAAUACCGGAGAAUGUUAUCACGGGAGACACACGGCGGGUGCUAACGUCCGUCGUGAAGAGGGAAACAACCCAGACCGCCAGCUAAGGUCCCAAAGUCAUGGUUAAGUGGGAAACGAUGUGGGAAGGCCCAGACAGCCAGGAUGUUGGCUUAGAAGCAGCCAUCAUUUAAAGAAAGCGUAAUAGCUCACUGGUCGAGUCGGCCUGCGCGGAAGAUGUAACGGGGCUAAACCAUGCACCGAAGCUGCGGCAGCGACACUGUGUGUUGUUGGGUAGGGGAGCGUUCUGUAAGCCUGUGAAGGUGUGUCGUGAGGCAUGCUGGAGGUAUCAGAAGUGCGAAUGCUGACAUAAGUAACGAUAAAGCGGGUGAAAAGCCCGCUCGCCGGAAGACCAAGGGUUCCUGUCCAACGUUAAUCGGGGCAGGGUGAGUCGACCCCUAAGGCGAGGCCGAAAGGCGUAGUCGAUGGGAAACGGGUUAAUAUUCCCGUACUUGGUGUUACUGCGAAGGGGGGACGGAGAAGGCUAUGUUGGCCGGGCGACGGUUGUCCCGGUUUAAGCGUGUAGGUGUGUGUUCCAGGUAAAUCCGGUUCACUUUAACACUGAGGCGUGACGACGAGGCACUACGGUGCUGAAGCAACAAAUGCCCUGCUUCCAGGAAAAGCCUCUAAGCAUCAGGUAACAUCAAAUCGUACCCCAAACCGACACAGGUGGUCAGGUAGAGAAUACCAAGGCGCUUGAGAGAACUCGGGUGAAGGAACUAGGCAAAAUGGUGCCGUAACUUCGGGAGAAGGCACGCUGACACGUAGGUGAAGUGAUUUACUCAUGGAGCUGAAGUCAGUCGAAGAUACCAGCUGGCUGCAACUGUUUAUUAAAAACACAGCACUGUGCAAACACGAAAGUGGACGUAUACGGUGUGACGCCUGCCCGGUGCCGGAAGGUUAAUUGAUGGGGUCAGCGCAAGCGAAGCUCCUGAUCGAAGCCCCGGUAAACGGCGGCCGUAACUAUAACGGUCCUAAGGUAGCGAAAUUCCUUGUCGGGUAAGUUCCGACCUGCACGAAUGGCGUAAUGAUGGCCAGGCUGUCUCCACCCGAGACUCAGUGAAAUUGAACUCGCUGUGAAGAUGCAGUGUACCCGCGGCAAGACGGAAAGACCCCGUGAACCUUUACUAUAGCUUGACACUGAACAUUGAGCCUUGAUGUGUAGGAUAGGUGGGAGGCUUUGAAGUGUGGACGCCAGUCUGCAUGGAGCCGACCUUGAAAUACCACCCUUUAAUGUUUGAUGUUCUAACGUGGACCCGUUACCCGGGUUGCGGACAGUGUCUGGUGGGUAGUUUGACUGGGGCGGUCUCCUCCUAAAGAGUAACGGAGGAGCACGAAGGUUGGCUAAUCCUGGUCGGACAUCAGGAGGUUAGUGCAAUGGCAUAAGCCAGCUUGACUGCGAGCGUGACGGCGCGAGCAGGUGCGAAAGCAGGUCAUAGUGAUCCGGUGGUUCUGAAUGGAAGGGCCAUCGCUCAACGGAUAAAAGGUACUCCGGGGAUAACAGGCUGAUACCGCCCAAGAGUUCAUAUCGACGGCGGUGUUUGGCACCUCGAUGUCGGCUCAUCACAUCCUGGGGCUGAAGUAGGUCCCAAGGGUAUGGCUGUUCGCCAUUUAAAGUGGUACGCGAGCUGGGUUUAGAACGUCGUGAGACAGUUCGGUCCCUAUCUGCCGUGGGCGCUGGAGAACUGAGGGGGGCUGCUCCUAGUACGAGAGGACCGGAGUGGACGCAUCACUGGUGUUCGGGUUGUCAUGCCAAUGGCACUGCCCGGUAGCUAAAUGCGGAAGAGAUAAGUGCUGAAAGCAUCUAAGCACGAAACUUGCCCCGA